RNAcentral lists this transfer RNA (35 nucleotides) under Amorphophallus scutatus. RNAcentral describes it as "partial tRNA-Leu". Lineage: Eukaryota; Viridiplantae; Streptophyta; Magnoliopsida; Alismatales; Araceae. The record is from RNAcentral.
CUUGAAAUCGGGGGGGUUAAAGUCCCUCUAUCCCC